UACAGAGGGGGCAAGCGUUAUUCGGAAUUAUUGGGCGUAAAGGGCGCGUAGGCGGUUCUUCAAGUCUCUCGUGAAAUCCCUCGGCUUAACUGAGGACGUGCGGGAGAUACUGAAGGGCUUGAGUCCGGAAGAGGGUGGUGGAAUUCCCAGUGUAGCGGUGAAAUGCGUAGAUAUUGGGAGGAACACCAGUGGCGAAGGCGGCUCACUGGACCGGUACUGACGCUGAGGCGCGAAAGCGUGGGGAGCAAACGGG
Molecule: ribosomal RNA, 253 nt
Filed under: uncultured bacterium
Lineage: Bacteria
Description: partial 16S ribosomal RNA
Rfam family: Bacterial small subunit ribosomal RNA
Source: RNAcentral